This 885-nucleotide long non-coding RNA is filed under the name Gallus gallus (chicken). RNAcentral's name for it is "long non-coding RNA NONGGAT009369". The record is from RNAcentral. Lineage: Eukaryota; Metazoa; Chordata; Aves; Galliformes; Phasianidae.
UACUUGUAAGUUUAAGAUCAACACCCCAGCACCCUCAUAACCUAAACACCAUUUACAUUUUCUUGCUGUAUUGUCAAUUAUGACUCUUCCCAUAUACAGCAGUUUUUGGACUGAAAUAACUGAGUGUCCACAGACCCCGUGGAAGCACUAAUAAUGGUAAAAUGCUAUGCAUUUAGUUGUGCUCUCCAAAUCUCUUUUAGUCUUGGGCAAAUUGUUUGUAUAGAGUAGGUUGGCAGCCUGUUUUUCUUGUAUAGACUUACCCUCAUCUCUGCCACUGUAGUAUUUUCUUUGUUUGGAAAUACUAUAAGCCAUGUAGACGUCUCAUUAAAGUCCUAACUAUCAGGCUACUGAAAUGCAAUGGCAUUACACUCUUGCCAGAGCUAACUGAAGCACAUAUAUUACCUUACUCCUUGUAUGCUGCUGUGCACUAAGAGGGCAUUAAGAUAUUAGGUUUCUAGUUCUGCAUACUGCUAGUUAAACUGGACCAGCAGUUCUCAAAUGCAGAUCCUGGUGUGAGAACACUCAGGUCAGGUUCCCAGUGCCUAGGCAUGAGUGGUUUAGUUAGUUCUGGCUGCAAGUUAUGCUGAGAGGAGUCUACCCUAAAGACUGGUGGUUGAGAGAAAGGAUGGCAUAUCUCACAGCCUCUUUUUCCUGUUACCAUUUCGUCUUCUAACUUGUCUUUCCUUGUAGUGCAUUCCCAUUGCCUCACUGGAAGCUUCCAAGCACCUCUUUGUCCACUGACUAGUGUGAGCUGGGCUUGCUGCAGCCCAAGGAAGGAACAUGAUGAGGAACUCUGUGUAGGAGCAGCUGCCAUGGCAGUGGAAGGAGCCUAGAGCUGUAGCUAAGUGGAAGGAAAAAAACAUCAAAGGUGUGAAUAUUCUUGAU